This 469-nucleotide ribosomal RNA is filed under the name uncultured bacterium. RNAcentral's name for it is "partial 16S ribosomal RNA". It matches the Rfam family "Bacterial small subunit ribosomal RNA", at positions 27 to 507 of the family's 1533-position model. The record is from RNAcentral.
GGACGAACGCUGGCGGCGUGCUUAACACAUGCAAGUCGAACGGAAAGGCCCUGCUUUUGUGGGGUGCUCGAGUGGCGAACGGGUGAGUAACACGUGAGUAACCUGCCCUUGACUCUGGGAUAACUUCAGGAAACUGGGGCUAAUACCGGAUAGGAGCUCCUGCUGCAUGGCGGGGGUUGGAAAGUUUCGGCGGAUGGGGAUGGACUCGCGGCUUAUCAGCUUGUUGGUGGGGUAGUGGCUUACCAAGGCCUUGACGGGCAGCCGGCCUGCAAGGGUGACCGGCCGCAUUGUGACUGAGAUACUGCCCAGACUCCUGCGGGAGACAGCAGUGGGGAAUGGAGCACGAUGGGCGGAAGCCUGAUGCAGCAACGGUGCGUGCGGGAUGACAGCCUUCCAGUUGUAAACGGAUUUGGGCUUUGACGUAGCGUGAGUGACAUUAAUGGGUGAAGAAACACAGACUGACUACGUG